RNAcentral lists this ribosomal RNA (465 nucleotides) under uncultured bacterium. RNAcentral's name for it is "partial 16S ribosomal RNA". It matches the Rfam family "Bacterial small subunit ribosomal RNA", at positions 28 to 507 of the family's 1533-position model. The record is from RNAcentral.
GACGAACGCUGGCGGCGUGCUUAACACAUGCAAGUCGUACGGUAAGGCCCUUUCGGGGGUCCACGAGUGGCGAACGGGUGAGUAACACGUGAGUAACCUGCCCACAACUUUGGGAUAACGCUAGGAAACUGGUGCUAAUACUGGAUAUGUGCUCCUGCUGCAUGGUGGGGGUUGGAAAGCUCCGGCGGUUGUGGAUGGACUCGCGGCCUAUCAGCUUGUUGGUGGGGUAGUGGCCUACCAAGGCGGCGACGGGUAGCCGGCCUGAGAGGGUGACCGGCCACAUUGGGACUGAGAUACGGCCCAGACUCCUACGGGAGGCAGCAGUGGGGAAUAUUGCACAAUGGGCGCAAGCCUGAUGCAGCAACGCCGCGUGCGGGAUGACGGCCUUCGGGUUGUAAACCGCUUUCAGCAGGGACGAAGCUUUUUGUGACGGUACCUGCGGAAGAAGCACCGGCUAACUACGUG